Molecule: ribosomal RNA, 566 nt
Filed under: uncultured bacterium
Lineage: Bacteria
Description: bacterial SSU rRNA
Rfam family: Bacterial small subunit ribosomal RNA
Source: RNAcentral
UCCUACGGGAGGCAGCAGUGGGGAAUUUUCCGCAAUGGGCGAAAGCCUGACGGAGCAAUACCGCGUGAGGGAUGACGGCCCUAUGGGUUGUAAACUUCUUUUGAAUAGGAAGAAACUUAUCUACGUGUAGAUAACUGACGGUACUAUUAGAAUAAGGAUCGGCUAACUCCGUGCCAGCAGCCGCGGUAAUACGGAGGAUCCAAGCGUUAUCCGGAUUCAUUGGGUUUAAAGGGUCCGUAGGCGGGUCUUUAAGUCAGUGGUGAAAGCCGACAGCUCAACUGUCGAACUGCCAUUGAUACUGGAGACCUUGAGUACAAAUGAAGUAGGCGGAAUGAGUCAUGUAGCGGUGAAAUGCAUAGAUAUGACUCAGAACACCGAUUGCGAAGGCAGCUUACUAACAUGUAACUGACGCUGAGGGACGAAAGCGUGGGGAGCGAACAGGAUUAGAUACCCUGGUAGUCCACGCCGUAAACGAUCAUCACUCGCUGUUGGCGAUAUACUGUCAGCGGCCAAGCGAAAGUAUUAAGUGAUGCACCUGGGGAGUACGCCGGCAACGGUGAAACUCA